This 16-nucleotide transfer RNA is filed under the name Rhinella aff. cerradensis LGE 19096. Its description in RNAcentral is "partial tRNA-Gln". Lineage: Eukaryota; Metazoa; Chordata; Amphibia; Anura; Bufonidae. The record is from RNAcentral.
UUAGAAAGAUAGGAAU